This 2458-nucleotide long non-coding RNA is filed under the name Oryza brachyantha (malo sina). Its description in RNAcentral is "long non-coding RNA (OBRA_LNC001475)". Lineage: Eukaryota; Viridiplantae; Streptophyta; Magnoliopsida; Poales; Poaceae. The record is from RNAcentral.
GUGAAUGCAUGAUUGCUUGCUGACAGCGAAAAAUAGAACCCCCACAUUAUAUGGCCAGUUGCUAAUUGCUACGAGUGAACAAUAGAAUUUGUAUCAGGCUCAAGAAAUACAUAUCCUUUUAAACAUGCUAUUAUCUUACUUGAAUUAGCAAAAUGGGGCAAAUUCCUUUCAAUAGCUUAUCUGGACAUCCUGGAUGGUUAUCCAGCUCGAUCCCUUUUUUACCUUAUUGUUUCCGUCUUCCUCUUUGAGCCAACGGUGGAGCCACCGACAUCUUGUAACUCGGCGACUAAGUACGUUUGUUAGUGAUGCAUAAUUUUCUAUAUGUGUUGUGACGUAAAUACAGUGAAAAUGUUGAUGACGAAGCCCGAAUGGUCAUCUAACUUGUCUGGGAGGUGGCUCUACCACUACUUUGAGCUUUGAUCCUCACUGUGCCCUUUUGUUCCCUCACUCGACCCCUUCGCUCUAGUUGCCCCCAUCCUAUUGUUGGAGAACCACUCUCUUUCCACCUCCUCCCUUCCUCGACCUCUUAAUCCUCAUCUCUAACCACAGCAAUACCCCCUAUCACCUUCUUUCAGGAGAAAAUGACAUAUCUAUCACUCUUAUCUGCUGGUUUCGUUAGAAUACCACUGCUAACAUGGGCUUCGGUAAAAUUCACCACUAAUGUGUACACUGCCGCAAAUAUACCAUUUUGGAGUAAGUUGCAUCUUGCUCCUUCUUUUUGGUUCCUGUCAGAUUUUCUAGGACGAAAUUGCCCCUCUUCAUUUGUUGCCACCUUUCUAUCCAGCCAGCAGAACAAGAACACGCGUGAGGAGGGGCAGCCGAGAGAACGAGAGGACAGAGAGACGUGAGAGCAAACGUAGAGAGAGAGAGAGAGAGCAAUUCUUCAGGUUUUUCGUGUAGGGACCCGACAAGAAAUAGGAGUAAGACUAAGGAGAGUGCUACAACAACGUGGGUGCUCCUUAAUAACUUGUGUUAUUUAGCUGGACCAUCAUCCAAACUGCCUAGUCAUCCAUGACAACAUGUGGUUGUAGCCCUCUAUGCCUAGAAUUCACGUGGAUUGGCUUUAUAUGUAAAAGAGGCAUUGGAGUGGUUAGCUCAAACAUUCAAAACAAUUUAUGUCUAAACACUAUUUAAAUUUUGAAUUAGCUUUAGAACCAUUAGAAUGAGUAAAAUCAUAGAAUUAGUGCAUAAAUACUUAUAUUGUAGUAAAAUUUAAAUCCUAAAAAUAAUUAUAUUUUGGAUAGAAUGAGUAAGUUAAAAAAAAAUAGAACACAUAAACUCAAACAUAAACUUGAGUGUUGUAUCGUCAGAAACAUGGAUAUGCAUUCCCUAACUUUAGGCUAUUCACAGUGCGGCGGUCGUGGCAAGUAGUAUCACCAUGCCAUGUCCGCCGCCGGUCGUCGUGGCAGAGAGAAGGGGAGGAGAGCGUAGCCUCAACAGGGUGCUCACAUCCUCUGUAAGAUGCAAGUGCCUCGGGAAUGAUUGCAGCCAGGGGGAUGGCGGGGAGCAGCGAUGUGAAGGUCGCAUCCUCGCCUUCGCUCGCCUUGACGUGGGUCCCACUAUGUAUGCGAAGAGAAUGGAGUGAGAAGGGCGGCGACUAGAGUGAGGGGCAAGUAGGGGCGAAUCUAACAAAAAAUAGGAGGUCUUGACCGGAUGACCAAAGCAGUUUAACAUAAAUUGAAACAUAUUGUCUCAUAUAUUUUAUUUUUUCUAGAUAUACUUAUUAACGUAUCCAUGGAAGAAAUUGGAAGAAAUUUAUAGGGGUAUUAGAGGGUCUUCGUAGUUCCGGCGCCGGUAGGGGGGCGGAAGACCCCCUGCCCACACGCCAGCUCCGCCGCGGGGGGCACGGGGUUGCCUUACCUCACUAAGUGGCGGUCGUCAUGUAGAUGUCCCCCGGCGGCUGGCCCGAGCUCCACACGCCGUCGUCCGCCCUCAGAUCUACCCCCGUUGCCCAGAUCUAUGUCGCCGGAGUGCCUCAGAUCUGUGUUGCUGCCAAGGAGAGGCGGACACCUCUGUCAGCCGCUGUCGUCCCUAGCGCUGCCUCCAGCAGCGCCCACCUCCGUUGACCGCCGUCGUCCUGAGCUCCGCCCACAGUGCUGGCUGCCGCCGCCUCGAGCCACGCCGCGCCGCUCGAGCUCUGCCCGACGCGAAGGAGGAAGGGGAGAAGAUGCCGAAGAGCAAAGAAGAGAGCGCCGCUGGCGCAAAGGGGAGGAAGAAGAGAGCGUCGCCGACGUGAAAGGGGAGGAAGAGUAGAGCGGUGAAAGGCGUCGUUGGAGUGGAAAAAGUCGAAAGUGACAGAGAGGAUGGAGAAGGGUAUUUUUAUUAUGAUUCUCUUAUCUUUAGGGUUUUAUUGUAAAUAUCUGGACUUUUAUAUAAAUAGAAAAAUUGUAAGGGUUGAAAUAGAAAAGUUCAGGGAGUGACUUGAAAAUGUUAGAGCCACUUGCCCUAUGGAGGAGGC